RNAcentral lists this ribosomal RNA (467 nucleotides) under uncultured bacterium. Its description in RNAcentral is "partial 16S ribosomal RNA". It matches the Rfam family "Bacterial small subunit ribosomal RNA", at positions 28 to 506 of the family's 1533-position model. The record is from RNAcentral.
GACGAACGCUGGCGGCGUGCUUAACACAUGCAAGUCGAACGGAAAGGCCCUGCUUUUGUGGGGUGCUCGAGUGGCGAACGGGUGAGUAACACGUGAGUAACCUGCCCUUGACUUUGGGAUAACUUCAGGAAACUGGGGCUAAUACCGGAUAGGAGCUCCUGCUGCAUGGUGGGGGUUGGAAAGUUUCGGCGGUUGGGGAUGGACUCGCGGCUUAUCAGCUUGUUGGUGGGGUAGUGGCUUACCAAGGCUUUGACGGGUAGCCGGCCUGAGAGGGUGACCGGCCACAUAGGGACUGAGAUACGGCCCAGACGGCUACGGGAGGCAGGAGUGGGGAAUAUUGCACAAUGGGCGGAGGCCUGAUGCAGCAACGCCGGGUGCGGGAUGACGGCCUUCGGGUUGUAAACCGCUUUCGCGUGUGACGAAGCGUGAGUGACGGUAAUGGGUAAAGAAGCACCGGCUAACUACGU